Molecule: ribosomal RNA, 441 nt
Filed under: uncultured bacterium
Lineage: Bacteria
Description: partial 16S ribosomal RNA
Rfam family: Bacterial small subunit ribosomal RNA
Source: RNAcentral
CCUACGGGAGGCAGCAGUGGGGAAUAUUGGGCAAUGGAGGCAACUCUGACCCAGCAACGCCGCGUGAAGGAUGAAGGUUUUCGGAUUGUAAACUUCUGUCGCGAGGGAUGAAGAAUGACGGUACCUCGUCAGAAAGCCCCGACAAACUACGUGCCAGCAGCCGCGGUAAUACGUAGGGGGCGCGCGUUUUCCGGAAUGACUGGGUGUAAAGGGAUUGUAGGGGGGAUAUUAAGUUAUGUGUGGAAGCCCGCGGCUCAACCGUGGAAUUGCAAAUAAAACUGGUAAUCUGGAGUGCAGGAGAGGUAAGUGGAAUUCGCGGUGUAGCGGUGGAAUGCGUAGAUAUCGGGAGGAACACCAGAGGCGAAGGCGACUUACUGGACUGCAACUGACGCUGAGGCUCGAAAGCGUGGGGAGCAAACAGGAUUAGAUACCCGGGUAGUC